CGGGGGAGCAAGCGUUGUUCGGAUUUACUGGGCGUAAAGGGCGCGUAGGCGGUCAGCACAAGUCAGUUGUGAAAUCUCCGGGCUUAACUCGGAAAGGUCAACUGAUACUGUGCGACUAGAGUGCAGAAGGGGCAACUGGAAUUCUCGGUGUAGCGGUGAAAUGCGUAGAUAUCGAGAGGAACACCUGCGGCGAAGGCGGGUUGCUGGGCUGACACUGACGCUGAGGCGCGAAAGCCAGGGGAGCGAACGGGAUUAGAUACCCCGGUAGUCCUGGCCUUAAACGAUGGAUGCUUGGUGUCUGGAGUUAUAUAGUCUCCGGGUGCCGCAGCUAACGCGUUAAGCAUCCCGCCUGGGGAGUACGGUCGCAAGACUG
This 373-nucleotide ribosomal RNA is filed under the name uncultured organism. RNAcentral describes it as "bacterial SSU rRNA". It matches the Rfam family "Bacterial small subunit ribosomal RNA", at positions 527 to 896 of the family's 1533-position model. The record is from RNAcentral.